Molecule: non-coding RNA, 179 nt
Filed under: Flavobacterium sp. 81
Lineage: Bacteria; Pseudomonadati; Bacteroidota; Flavobacteriia; Flavobacteriales; Flavobacteriaceae
Also listed under: 1 other name
Source: RNAcentral
UCCAUUGUGAGGUGGAAUCUGAAGGAAGCAGUAGGCAAACUCUUGGCCUGACGGAUAGAAACUAUAUAUAAGGCCAGAAAUGUUAGAUAAAGUUGCUAUACAAACUAAAGUCUUUUCCUUAGGGGCUUUGAUCUCUAACAUGACUUUCUUAAAGUGAAUAUAAGAAAUAUUUUUACUAC